Molecule: long non-coding RNA, 967 nt
Organism: Glycine soja
Lineage: Eukaryota; Viridiplantae; Streptophyta; Magnoliopsida; Fabales; Fabaceae
Exons: 2
Source: RefSeq, a predicted model, not a curated record
UGGGACUUCAAACACACAAAAAUAUCAUCCACAACAGCCCCGCCAAACCAGUGCAUCAGCAGUAGUUUAGUUCAUUUCUUGUACUUCUUAGAAUGGCUUCUAUGGCCUUCAAAAAUCAAAACCGAUUACACAAGAAUAUUAGAGGGUUCUUGUUACUUGUUCUAUACCCUUGUUUUUACCGUUUGUUCAAUUGCAUGGAAGCUGAAGUAUGAACAUGGAACCUCGUGACUGAAGUAUAGACACACAUUGUCUCCAUGAAACUGGUACCAUAUACCAUAAAUGCUCCUAUUAGAAGCCUCACUGUAAAGGUAUGAACCAAAGCAUAUGCUCUCAAGUAUUUGGUGUGGUCAACUUUGGAAGGUCUUGAAGGUAAGCCAACUAAUGUUGAAAUUGACUUGGAAAAGGAAUGAGGUAGGUUCAAUGUAGGAACCAAAAGGAGGUAGGUGGCAAUUCAAAGUCAAGCUACCAAUAAAUUAAACACCAAAUCACCUAACUUCAGAAUAGCAUUGAUAACCCACUUGCUAACCAUUAGGCACAUUGAUAACCAACUUGUUAAAUAAAAAUCUUCCACGGUUACACAAAAUCCCUUUCAAAAUUUGACAGUUUGCGGUCCAGACAAAAUAACUAUGCAAAGGGUUCACCAAUUUGACAUUCCAGUUCACAUAAAUGAGCAUCAACAAUCACCAUGAGGCCUAAACACAUUCUCUCUCUGUAAUGGAUCCUCAAACCAAUAAUAUGUAACAGUGUGUUAAACAUUUCAAGUAUAAAUAGCAAUUUUCUUUUUGUAGUAAAUAAUAUGGUCUGCCAAAGGAUACAGUAAACAAUGAUAUACAUAACAAAACUGCCCGUGUAUUAAAAAUAAUGAAUAAUAGAAAAUACCUGUGAAUACAAGAAGGUUCCAAGGAUAGCAAUGGCGGCACCAAGAGCAUUGAUGGGUUGAACUGGUGUGUGGAAGAUAAUAAUGGAA